Molecule: long non-coding RNA, 213 nt
Filed under: Lathyrus oleraceus (garden pea)
Lineage: Eukaryota; Viridiplantae; Streptophyta; Magnoliopsida; Fabales; Fabaceae
Description: Pisum sativum (pea) long non-coding RNA (PSAT_LNC008124)
Source: RNAcentral
GAUAAACCCUAGGAAUUUUUCCAGAAAACCUUGUUUGAUCUUCAUUUUCGUUGAUUGCAUGUGCUAUGUUGUUAUUCGCCCAUGUAUUGGACCACGUGUCCUAGGCUUUGAGUGAGCGCGCGCUGGAUUUCAAACGCUUCCUCCCUUCGAUUCUGGUCGAAGGCACUUCCAUUUGGCCUUUUGCAUUUUUAUUCUUUAUGCUAUGCCAUGUUC